GACGAACGCUGGCGGCGUGCUUAACACAUGCAAGUCGAACGGAAAGGCCCUGCUUUUGUGGGGUGCUCGAGUGGCGAACGGGUGAGUAACACGUGAGUAACCUGCCCUUGACUUUGGGAUAACUUCAGGAAACUGGGGCUAAUACCGGAUAGGAGCUCCUGCUGCAUGGUGGGGGUUGGAAAGUUUCGGCGGUUGGGGAUGGACUCGCGGCUUAUCAGCUUGUUGGUGGGGUAGUGGCUGACCAAGGCUUUGACGGGUAGCCGGCCUGAGAGGGUGACCGGCCACAUUGGGACUGAGAGACGGCCCAGACGCCUACGGGAGGCAGCAGGGGGGAAUAUUGCAGAAUGGGCGGAAGCCUGAUGCAGCAACGCCGCGUGCGGGAUGACGGCCUUCGGGGUGUAAACCGCUUUCGCCUGUGACGAAGCGUGAGUGACGGUAAUGGGUAAAGAAGCACCGGCUAACUACGUG
Molecule: ribosomal RNA, 468 nt
Filed under: uncultured bacterium
Lineage: Bacteria
Description: partial 16S ribosomal RNA
Rfam family: Bacterial small subunit ribosomal RNA
Source: RNAcentral